AGGCAGAGGCAGGUGGAUCUAUGUGAGUUUGAGGCCAGCCUGGUCUACAAAGCUGUUUCUAAGCAGUGCAAUUAGUAGCGCUUGCCUGUCCUAGAUGCCUCAGCUCUUUGAUCUUGAUAGGCUAAUGGCGACCGCCAGGAGUAUUCAAACAGGACGCUGCCUGUCAGCUUCCAGAUUCCCUUGUCAGGAACCUGUUUUGAGGCCAUCAAGUGACUUCUUGAAUAUGACCCUGUGCCCCUAAACUCUUUUUAACCAUCAUUUCCCUUCGGGUUUCUUUCCUUUUUUCUCCAUGUUUGUCCUGGUAGGGCAUAAACCAGAUCAAGCCUGAGGCUCACGAUGUGAUUCCACCAUGAAUUUCUUCUGUGUGUCUCUCUUUCUUCUUAAGGUGAUCAGGCAAGCCAAAAGGACACUCUCUUCUUCUCCUGCUGUCUUGAGCACCUUGUGUUGUUCGCUCAGCACGAUUCCGUCUUAGCAAUAAAUCCCCGACAAGGAUGUUGUGAUCUCUCUGAUUUAAUCGGCAUUAAACCCUCUGAGUCCUCAUAUCCUUCCUCUCCCAUUUCUUAAAAUAGUCUGCAGCACUCAAGUCAAGCAUCCUAUCGACUUCCUUGUUUCUAAUAUUGCAUAAUCCUGCAAGAACACUUUCCCCUAUUCUCCUUAAGGAGCACACAUAAUCAAAACGUUCUCACACGAGAACCUGUGGGUCGGGUGGUCCAGGCAGCCCUGAGGUUAGUGGGGCACAUUGCUGCCCGGAUGACCUGAGCGCUUGCUAGAUUGAAGGGAUGUUUCCUAUCCCUUCGCUGCUUAACUGGCUUAGAAAGACCUGCUUUGAGCUAAGGAAAAAUGGUGGGUGGAACAGUGUUCAGCAGGCACCGAGAGCACCUCCCGAAUGACGAGAUCCAAAGACACGGGGAUGGGGUCUCAGGCCAGACUCGGCAGAGGGGAUGCACUUUAUGAUCCAUCUGCCUUGUUUGCAGGUGAGUGAAUGAGGAGAGAACACGGUUACAUGGAAGCCGUUAUGGACAUGAAAGCCAAACCCACCUUAAAGUUGUCACCGCGACCCCAAGUUGUAGGUGGACGCCAGAAGCGAAUUUAGACUCAGACCUGGGCAAAUUAGUGGAUGUGAUAUUCCAGGCUUAAGUAAACUCAGGUGGUUAAAACCAAGACAGCAUCCCUAGCCCAGGCUUGGUCCAUGAAUCUGGCCAUUCAUUUGUGGCCCACCACUGCCCUCUGGUGGCACUCUAAAAAAUGCAGCUUAGUUUUAAAGAUGGGGUUAGCGUGUCUGACUUAACCUGUUUGUUUGUUUGUUUGUUUGAGCACGUACCCUCGGUAUUUGGGUCUCAGGACCAGUUUAACUCACCUGCAUGAACCCAGUCAUGCUGUGAUGAGAAUAAAAUGAGCAGAAGACAGCGUAUCCCAUGCCUCUCUCUGGCCCUGCCGUUGUCAGACAAUCCAGCUACCUCUUGGGAACUGCCGUUUCUAUCAGACACUAUUGCUAUUGCGUGGGGCCUUUUAUCUGAGCUGUAGCAUUGAUCCUCUAAGAUGGGUGCGGUAAUUAGCCGUGCUACAGAUGAAGAAGUAGAGGCUCACAGAAGACGUCUGGCUCUUCACAUAUGAAUAUGAAUUCAGCCCCUGGUGACAACAACCUGUAAAGAUGUAAUUCCGUAUCCAGUCUCGCCCCGAGCAGAAUGCACAGGGAGAUAUGACUUUAAAGUAGUGUUCAAGCACACACAUACUUUCUGCAUGUUUUUUGGAAUCUGAGACUAAAUUCUAGAUGGGCUCUUAGCCUGUCACGCAGGGAUGGAGACUCCGGGAUGGAGGGAGCAGGACAGAGGCGUGGAAACCCUCUCACCCUGAGAAGACACCGUUUCUGGGGAUGAUGCGGCUGUCCAAUGGGUGUUGGAGAGCCAGAAGGCAGAUUCAAAGCGUUUGCGUUACCCCGCCCUCUCUACCUGCAAUUGAAAGCAGCCUCCGCUUUGGCCUGUAGAUGGCAGCCUAGGCUCAAUUGAACCCAAGCCUGGUUUGGUUUGGUUUGGUUUUGGGGUGCCCCAAUUCCCACCAGCUGAGAAUCACUUUCAGGGGGAGGCUUGGGGGUGUUAUAAACUGCUGGUGCAUGGGACUGGGCCUCGGAGACUCUGAUAGUGAUGAUCUCGUGGGUGACCGGGGCAAUUUGCUGUUGUUGGGUAUUUGCUUCCUUGCUCGCUCGCUUGCUUGGAGACAGAUGUUUGCUAUGUUGCUUCUGCUGGCAUCUAAAUCCUGGAAUCAAGUAAUCCUCCUGCCUCAGCCUCCCAGGUAGCUGGGAGUAAGAAUGCAUUUAUCCCACAGUGCCUGACCAUAAACGUCGUGUUUUACAAAGCUCCACAGCCGACUCUCCACCAAGGUUAGGAGUGACGGUUUGCACGCUGGGCGCCGUGGUUCCUGUGGGUUUGGUGGGCUGCUCAUUUGACGUCCUUUCCUUGCUGUACCUUGUGGAGCCUGGGCCCACAGAAAGAGAGGAGGACAAUGAGAAGGGGCGUCAUGUGGAGGAAUGAAGAAUACAGUCCAGACGGGAGAGAAAAUAAAGGAGGUUCUUCUCAGGCUGAGAGGAAGGAGCCUAAAGGGAGCCUGCUCGGCGAUUAAAACCCGUUUCCUUCCUUACAGAAAAGAACUACGCCAUGUAGAAGACUAAGGAUUGUUCUAGAAAGCUAGAAAACCUGCCCCUUCUACUGACCAGAGCUUUAACAUGAAUCCUGGUAGGGGCGCUGUGGACUUCAGGGCUUUGGGGGGGGGGGAGGACCUGGCCAGGCAGGGAAGUGGCAAGGAGUGGUAAGGGGUGUGGACAGCAGAAGUGGCUUCACAGAGAAAGUGGCGUCUUCCCAUGUGGACAUAUAUCCUGUGAGGCAUUAGCUGCUACAAAUGGUCCUCUCUUCCCAAUAGCUUCAUGCACAAGAAUGGAGGCUGGCUAGUCCAGUGCCUUCACGAAGAGGAACAGCAAGGGACCUGUUGCCAUAGCAACUCAUCAGGCACAGUCACACCACCAUGUCCCAAUUCUCAUCUUUGGGCAAAGCCUCAUCAUUGAGCAUCCCCCCCCCAAAAAAAAAAUCAUACUGAAUACGCAAAACUCCACGAUGAACAAAAUUUUAAAUUGAGACACGAUCCCUAUCUCCAGCUUUCCCUUUUACCUCAACUUGAAUAGCCAACAGCAUCGCUGUGGCACUUUCUAAUGAAUGCAGGCUGCAGUGGUGGGGAGCCCUUCGCUGUCCACCCACAUCUUUCCGGAGCCACUUACAGCACCUGUGGAAUGUGAGUUAUCACAGAUCUGUGAUCUGUCCGCUGAGAUAAAUUCUUUCCUCUUCAGUUUGCUUUUGGCCCUGGUGUCUUAUCACAGCCGUAGAAAGCAAGCCAAGAGAGAAACUGACAACCUAUAUUUUUACUUAAGAUUCCAGUAGGUCUUCCGGUCAUGAAAGCCUGGGUGAGUGGAUCUCUAGGAAUGCUUGUGGUUAUAGUAAUGACCACCGGCAUUGCCAGUUGGAAAAGCGAAACAAACAAAAACUUUACUUUCUUUUGCAAAAGUUUAUUUUAAUUGAUUGAAAACCACAUUACUCAUUAGGAACCCUGUGGUGUCUCAACCCACUGCACACUUGCAUAAUGUACCAAUAGUUCCAGAUCUGUGGGAACUGUGCUCCUAGCGGAGCAGUGGUGCCACCUAGUGGGAGAGUCUGGUACCGAGCACUCAAGGAUAACGCCAAACACAGCAUGACGUCCUGGAGCCUCGGCUUCAGCGCAGGUCUCUGGUAAGGGAGGCCAUGCUUAGGAACUUACACCGUGGUCGUUGAGAUGGAGCAGAUGGGAGACUGUGUGGACAGACGGGUCAGGAGGUAAGGGAGUAGGUAGGCGGGGUGUCCCCAAGGUAGAAAAGUCUCGUGACACAGCCACACACAGAUAGGGUGACCCUGAGACAGACUCUUAGCCCCUACUUUCCCAUCAGUGGAAGUGAGAGAGACCGAGACAAUAGAGAAUGUAUCUCUAACCUCUAUUAUCUUCACUUCACCUACUUGGGACAAAUAUGAGAAAAUCAAGUCCCCAGAGUCUUUGAAAACACAGGGUAUCAGGGUAGGCACUGGAAAUACAAAGAUAGGUAAGAUAGAAAGUUCGAUCGAAGUUGACCUGGGUACUGAAGUGGCUGAGGGGGGAGCAGGGAAAAGUCAAGGCCUGGUAAGCUACAGAGUGGGUUCAAAGCCAGCCUGAGCAACUCAGUGAGACCUUGUCACAAAAUAAAAAUAAAAAGUAAAUCAUAGGCUGGGGAUACAGCUUAGUUAUGAAGUCUCUGUGUAGCUUGUGUGAGGUCCAGAUUUGACCUCCAUGAUUGAAGACAGGGGCUGCUUCCAGAAACAUGUCAGAAUGUGCACUGGUGGCUGAGCUGGUGUGAAAAGACAGCCUAGCGGUGCGAGAAUUUCAGCAAACGGAAAGUGACCGUGUUUGCGGGGAAUCAAGUGAGGGUACUUUUCUUCUGUCACAGGUGGGAUGCAGCGUGAUCGUAACAGAGGCCAUGCGUGUUUGGGUAGAACUGUGGAGGGUCACACAGGUUUCACGCCGGCCUCUGAGGAGAUCUCCGUUGUGCUACACAGACUCAGCUGUGAGCUUGGACACUGUAUAUCGUUCCCAUUUUACUGUGGCUCACUUUACUCGAGUGGGAAAAGAAGAUGCGUUCCGGAGAAAUCAUACUUGGACUUGGAGAUUUUGAUCCUUUCCUGGGCUGGCCACACGGAUCUUUGAUGCCUUUUCAUCUAGGGUAGCAGCAGCAAGCUGUUCCCAGGGAGCCCCAUGGCCAUGAAGUAACUGGUCCUACUGUGUUCCCAGGGAGCCCCAUGGCCAUGAAGUGACUGGUCCUAUUGUGUUCCCAGGGAGCCCCAUGCCAUGAAGUGACUGGUCCUACUGUGUUUCCAGGGAGUCCCAUGGCCAUGAAGUGACUGGUCCUACUGUGUUCCGGGCAAAUGAGCCAAGAUGCUUGCCAGACUGGGAUGUCAAGCACACCCUCGACUGCUGCUGGCUUUUCAUUUAUGACGGCUAUGGCCCAGGUGCUCUUGAACCAAACAGCUAGUAAAGUCACGUGCAUCUCAGAGCAUGGGGUUUUUGUGUUGGGUAUUCUUUUAGUUAUUCUUUGGCAUUUUGCGUGUGUUUACGACGUGUCGUGAUUAUAUUUACCAGACCUGAAGCAGGAGGAUGGAAAAGGCAAGGCCUGGUAAGCAAGUCAGCCUGAGCAACUCAGUAAGAAGUUGUAAAACAGCAUUGAAACCGGAGGGCUGGGGAUGUCGCCUGUCUCCUUCCCACCUCCUGUCCUUCCCUUGUCUUUCUUCCUUUCCUGUGUGUUACCCGUUGAGUCCAGGUAGUGCUCCGCGGUGGGACACUGGCUGGUCCUGCGCAGCUAGAGCCGCAAUAAGUCGGCGAGUACAAUGGUCACAGCGUGUUCAGAAACCAAAACUUCACAACACUCCGCUCUGCUCUUGAGCUCUGACAUUCUGCUCAUUCUGUGUGUGUGCGUGUGUGCGUGUGUGUGUGUGUGUGUGUGCGUGUGCAUGUGUGUGUGCAUGUGUGUGCGUGUGUGUGUGUGUGUGUAUGUGUGUGAUGUUUCUUAUAUAGAGGCCCCAUUUACAGCCCCCAAAUCACUUAUUCUCUGAGCUUUAUUCACUUAGAAGUCUUUGCAUUAACUGCUACCCAUUUCAGACAAACACACACGCAUACACACACACACACACAGACACACACACACACACACACACACACACACAUGCUUAACAUUACAUCCAAUCUGCAGAAAAACAAUAUGGGUUUCCCCUCAGGAUCUAGAACCUCCUCAGCUGUGGGUUUUGGUCCAGUUUAAAAUGCCAGACCACAAAUCUCUUCAGAAAGUGGUUGGUUCGCCUCGUAACCUUUAUGCUGUACACCUUUGCCCAUCAGAUAAGUAUUGUAGCAGUCAGGGUUCACAUCUGGGCAAUACCACCAGUGGCUUCUCUCCUCCAGGGGCCAUCAUAGCACCUCCGGCACUGUGGAAGCGAUCUCUCGGGUGGGGGGUGGGGGUGGGGGAGAGUUUUCAGGUCAGGUCCAGCCUGAGUUCUCACAACCAGAGUGUAUUGUGUCUUCAGCAAUGGGAUCUUACCAUGGCUGUGGUGGGAAACCAAGAGCUUGUGUUGUUUGGGGGAGGGGUCUCUACAGCCUCCUUGACAAAUCAUAACCCCUAAAAAAAGUAUCCUGAAGUCUGACACAAUUUUAAUUUAAUAACCAUACCUUCUUGGGGGAAGCACUGUUCACCCAUGAAGAGUACUUGUGUUUAAACUCCUUUAAAAUUUUUUAUUUUUGCAAUUUAGCUGCAAGAUAGUGCAUUUCCAUAUGGGUUUUAUAGACAGACACCCACUUGAACCUUUAAUCCCUGGUACUACUCUCUCCUAUUUCACAUUCAAGAGACCAUGGGUUCCUCUUCACGACAGCCUUUAAAACCCAAAAGGGGAGUUCGAUGAAGUCAUGAAACAGAGUAAGAAAAACUGGUCAAAAUUGCUCUUUUCAUGUAGAGUAAUGAUUAAUAUUCAAACUGUCUUCUUAAUCUCUGGAGCUAGCUCAGGAUGGCGUAAGCCACUGAACCACUAUUAAUAUUUCCUUACAAAGAUGUCAAGAGGCACAAAAACCUGUGUGCAUUUCUUAUCUAUGAUUCGGACAGUGGAACAAAGGUGACAAAUUACUCAGUGUUGUGAGACAAGACAGAACCUGAGGGGAGGAAGCAAGGACAGUAACACUGUGCUGGGUGCCAAGCACUCGAGCCUUGGGUCAGGGUUUGGAGUCUCAGCUCAGGGAACUAUUCUGAUGACAGGCUACAGAAGUCCUGGACUCUUGUGGCUGGUGCCCAUUCCAGCAUCCAGGUAGCUGGGCUGGCACUGCCUUCUGAUCCCUCCCUGAGGUAAGCACAAAGGACGUAAGUAUCUGGAAAGCAUCCUAACAUAAGCUGCCCCUAAUCAUAAGGAUCACAGUCAAAGUGCUGAUUUUUUUUUCCCUAAAAGAUUAGUCUUUAUUCUGCAGUGUUUUGGAGACAAAGGGCUGUGUGCUUUUGCUCCUGAUGACCAAUAAUGUCAAGUCUUAUCUAUUGGGAGCAAUGCCCUUGAAACCCUCCAUUAUUGAUGUUAAUAUUAUGGUUAGGGUUAAGUAUGACUGGGUUCGUGGAAAAUCCCCUGCCACCUGCAGAGGACUAAUACAAAUCUGGUGGUCAGGAUGAAUAUUGAUAUGAUAAAGUUCUGACCUUGCUGAGAAAUACAUCUGACGUCAAGAUGCCCAAUGUGAUGACCUAUAACCUUUCUGAAGAACCAACAUCCUGCUGACUAAUAGAUAUGACAAACCUGUGACCUUUCUGACAUCCUGUCAACAUCAGCCGAUUCCCUGACCACAAGAGAGCUGUGUCCUUGGCCUGUGUAAAUGUUUCCCACUUACCCCGUCCCUCUGUUACUCCUGUUAUGGUAUAAAUUCAGCCUUGAGAAAAAAAUAAAAUUGUUGCCUUGAUCAGA
Rattus norvegicus (Norway rat) is the source of this 7523-nucleotide non-coding RNA. The record is from RefSeq and is a predicted model, not a curated record. NCBI's taxonomy places the organism in Eukaryota, Metazoa, Chordata, Mammalia, Rodentia, Muridae.